This 441-nucleotide ribosomal RNA is filed under the name uncultured bacterium. Its description in RNAcentral is "partial 16S ribosomal RNA". It matches the Rfam family "Bacterial small subunit ribosomal RNA", at positions 338 to 795 of the family's 1533-position model. The record is from RNAcentral.
CCUACGGGUGGCAGCAGUGAGGAAUAUUGCUCAAUGGGCGCAACCCUGAAGCAGCCAAGUCGCGUGAGGGAAGACUGCUCUCGGGUUUUUAAACCUUGUCUGUAGGGAAGAGAAAGGACGGUACCUUAGGAUGAAGCUCCGGCUAACUACGUUCCAGCAGCCGAGGUAAUACGUCGGGCGCCGGCGUUAUCCGGAAUUAAUGGGUGUAAAGGGUGCGUAGACGGGAAAGCAAGUUGGGGGUGAAAUCCCGAGGCUUAAACGAGGAACUGCGGUUGAAACUAGCGUUCUUGAGUGCUGGAGAGGUAAGCGGAAUGCGUGGUGUAGCGGUGAAAUGCGUAGAUAGCACGAAGAACACCAGUGGCGAAGGCGGCUUACUGGACUGCAACUGACGUUGAGGCACGAAAGCGUGGGUAGCAAACAGGAUUAGAUACCCGAGUAGUC